RNAcentral lists this ribosomal RNA (248 nucleotides) under uncultured bacterium. RNAcentral describes it as "partial 16S ribosomal RNA". It matches the Rfam family "Bacterial small subunit ribosomal RNA", at positions 110 to 353 of the family's 1533-position model. The record is from RNAcentral.
GUAACGCGUGAGUAACCUGCCUUUCAGAGGGGGAUAACGUUCUGAAAAGAAACGCUAAUGCCGCAUAACAUCAAUUUAUCGCAUGAUAGGUUGAUCAAAGGAGCAAUCCGCUGGAAGAUGGACUCGCGUCCGAUUAGCCAGUUGGCGGGGUAACGGCCCACCUAGUCGACGAUCGGUAGCCGGACUGAGAGGUUGAACGGCCACAUUGGGACUGAGACACGGCCCAGACUCCUACGGGAGGCAGCAUG